Molecule: ribosomal RNA, 876 nt
Filed under: uncultured archaeon
Lineage: Archaea
Description: bacterial SSU rRNA
Rfam family: Archaeal small subunit ribosomal RNA
Source: RNAcentral
CCUGACUGCUAUCGGAUUGAUACUAAGCCAUGCGAGUCAUUGUAGCAAUACAAGGCAGACGGCUCAGUAACGCGUAGUCAACCUACCCUAUGGACGGGGAUAACCUCGGGAAACUGAGAAUAAUACCCGAUAGAACAUUAUACCUGGAAUGGUUUAUGUUUCAAAUAAUUUAUUGCCGUAGGAUGGGACUGCGGCCUAUCAGUUUGUUGGUGAGGUAAUGGCCCACCAAGACUAUUACAGGUACGGGCUCUGAGAGGAGUAGCCCGGAGAUGGGUACUGAGACACGGACCCAGGCCCUAUGGGGCGCAGCAGGCGAGAAAACUUUGCAAUGUGCGAAAGCACGACAAGGUUAAUCCGAGUGGUUUCUGCUAAAGGAACCUUUUGUCAGUCCUAGAAACACUGAUGAAUAAGGGGUGGGCAAGUUCUGGUGUCAGCCGCCGCGGUAAAACCAGCACCUCAAGUGGUCAGGAUGAUUAUUGGGCCUAAAGCAUCCGUAGCCUGCUUUGUUAGUCUUCGGUUAAAUCCAUACGCUCAACGUAUGGGCUGCCGGGAAUACUGCAAAGCUAGGGAGUGGGAGAGGUAGACGGUACUCGGUAGGAAGGGGUAAAAUCCUUUGAUCUAUUGAUGACCACCUGUGGCGAAGGCGGUCUACCAGAACACGUCCGACGGUGAGGGAUGAAAGCUGGGGGAGCAAACCGGAUUAGAUACCCGGGUAGUCCCAGCUGUAAACUAUGCAAACUCGGUGAUGCAUUGGCUCGAUGCCAAUGCAGUGCCGCAGGGAAGCCGUUAAGUUUGCCGCCUGGGAAGUACGUACGCAAGUAUGAAACUUAAAGGAAUUGGCGGGGGAGCACCAACAAGGGGUGAAGCCUGCGGUUC